AAUCUUCCACAAUGGACGAAAGUCUGAUGGAGCAACGCCGCGUGAGUGAUGAAGGCCUUCGGGUCGUAAAGCUCUGUUGUUAGGGAAGAACAAGUGCGAGAGUAACUGCUCGCACCUUGACGGUACCUAACCAGAAAGCCACGGCUAACUACGUGCCAGCAGCCGCGGUAAUACGUAGGUGGCAAGCGUUAUCCGGAAUUAUUGGGCGUAAAGCGCGCGCAGGUGGUUUCUUAAGUCUGAUGUGAAAGCCCACGGCUCAACCGUGGAGGGUCAUUGGAAACUGGGGAACUUGAGUGCAGAAGAGGAAAGUGGAAUUCCAAGUGUAGCGGUGAAAUGCGUAGAGAUUUGGAGGAACACCAGUGGCGAAGGCGACUUUCUGGUCUGUAACUGACACUGAGGCGCGAAAGCGUGGGGAGCAAACAG
Molecule: ribosomal RNA, 423 nt
Filed under: uncultured bacterium
Lineage: Bacteria
Description: bacterial SSU rRNA
Rfam family: Bacterial small subunit ribosomal RNA
Source: RNAcentral